GCUAGGUAUGGUGGUGCAUGCCUAUAAUCCCAGUUACUUGGGAGGCUGAGGCAGGAGGAUUCAAAGUUUGAGGCCAGCCUAAG
This 83-nucleotide small RNA is filed under the name Marmota monax (woodchuck). Lineage: Eukaryota; Metazoa; Chordata; Mammalia; Rodentia; Sciuridae. The record is from RNAcentral.